UUGAANUGGGCGCAGCCUGAUCCAGCCAUGCCGCGUGGAUGAUGAAGGCCCUAGGGUUGUAAAGUCCUUUCGGCGGGGAAGAUAAUGACGGUACCCGCAGAAGAAGCCCCGGCUAACUUCGUGCCAGCAGCCGCGGUAAUACGAAGGGGGCUAGCGUUGCUCGGAAUCACUGGGCGUAAAGCGCACGUAGGCGGCUUUUUAAGUCAGGGGUGAAAUCCUGGAGCUCAACUCCAGAACUGCCUUUGAUACUGAGAAGCUUGAGUCCGGGAGAGGUGAGUGGAACUGCGAGUGUAGAGGUGAAAUUCGUAGAUAUUCGCAAGAACACCAGUGGCGAAGGCGGCUCACUGGCCCGGUACUGACGCUGAGAUGCGAAAGCGUGGGGAGCAAACAGGAUUAGAUACCCUGGUAGUCCACGCCAUAAACGAUGGAUGCUAGCCGUUGUCGGGUUUACUCGUCAGUGGCGCAGCUAACGCAUUAAGCAUCCCGCCUGGGGAGUACGGUCGCAAGAUUAAAACUCAAAGAAAUUGACGGA
RNAcentral lists this ribosomal RNA (532 nucleotides) under uncultured bacterium. Its description in RNAcentral is "bacterial SSU rRNA". It matches the Rfam family "Bacterial small subunit ribosomal RNA", at positions 364 to 917 of the family's 1533-position model. The record is from RNAcentral.